This 335-nucleotide ribosomal RNA is filed under the name uncultured Nitrospira sp. RNAcentral describes it as "bacterial SSU rRNA". It matches the Rfam family "Bacterial small subunit ribosomal RNA", at positions 335 to 672 of the family's 1533-position model. The record is from RNAcentral. Lineage: Bacteria; Pseudomonadati; Nitrospirota; Nitrospiria; Nitrospirales; Nitrospiraceae.
ACUCCUACGGGAGGCAGCAGUAAGGAAUAUUGCGCAAUGGGCGAAAGCCUGACGCAGCGACGCCGCGUGGGGGAUGAAGAUCUUCGGAUUGUAAACCCCUUUCGGGAGGGAAGAUGGAGCGAGCAAUCGUUCGGACGGUACCUCCAGAAGCAGCCACGGCCAACUUCGUGCCAGCAGCCGCGGUAAUACGAAGGUGGCAAGCGUUGUUCGGACUCUCUGGGCGUACAGGGUGUGUAGGCGGUUUGGUAAGCCUUCUGUUAAAGCUUCGGGCCUAACCCGGAAAGCGCAGAGGGUACUGCCAGGCUAGAGGGUGGGAGAGGAGCGCGGAAUUCCCG